UGCAGCAGGCGCGAAAACUUUACAAUGCGGGAAACCGUGAUAAGGGGACACCGAGUGCCAGCAUCAUAUGCUGGCUGUCCAGGUGUGUAAACUACACCUGUUAGCAAGGGCCGGGCAAGACCGGUGCCAGCCGCCGCGGUAACACCGGCGGCCCGAGUGGUGAUCGUGAUUAUUGGGUCUAAAGGGUCCGUAGCCGGUUUGGUCAGUCCUCCGGGAAAUCUGACGGCUCAACCGUUAGGCUUUCGGGGGAUACUGCCAGGCUUGGAACCGGGAGAGGUAAGAGGUACUACAGGGGUAGGAGUGAAAUCUUGUAAUCCCUGUGGGACCACCUGUGGCGAAGGCGUCUUACCAGAACGGGUUCGACGGUGAGGGACGAAAGCUGGGGGCACGAACCGGAUUAGAUACCCGGGUAGUCCCAGCCGUAAACGAUGCUCGCUAGGUGUCAGGCAUGGCGCGACCGUGUCUGGUGCCGCAGGGAAGCCGUGAAGCGAGCCACCUGGGAAGUACGGCCGCAAGGCUGAAACUUAAAGGAAUUGGCGGGGGAGCACAAGGGCGAAUCGCGG
RNAcentral lists this ribosomal RNA (563 nucleotides) under uncultured archaeon. RNAcentral describes it as "bacterial SSU rRNA". It matches the Rfam family "Archaeal small subunit ribosomal RNA", at positions 331 to 900 of the family's 1478-position model. The record is from RNAcentral.